This 79-nucleotide transfer RNA is filed under the name Marmota monax (woodchuck). RNAcentral's name for it is "tRNA.Ala". Lineage: Eukaryota; Metazoa; Chordata; Mammalia; Rodentia; Sciuridae. The record is from RNAcentral.
GUCUGGGGAUAUAACUUAGUUGGUAGAGUGCUUGCCUUGCAUGCACAAGGCCCUGCGUUCAAUUUCCAGCACCAAGACU